UCCCUAUUGGCUCAGAUGGUAAAGAGUCUGCCUGCAAUGCGGGAUACCUGGGUUCGAUCUCCAGAUCGGGAA
This 72-nucleotide transfer RNA is filed under the name Ovis aries (sheep). It matches the Rfam family "tRNA". Rfam says of the family: Transfer RNA (tRNA) molecules are approximately 80 nucleotides in length. The record is from Rfam by way of RNAcentral. Lineage: Eukaryota; Metazoa; Chordata; Mammalia; Artiodactyla; Bovidae.